RNAcentral lists this ribosomal RNA (890 nucleotides) under uncultured bacterium. Its description in RNAcentral is "bacterial SSU rRNA". It matches the Rfam family "Bacterial small subunit ribosomal RNA", at positions 611 to 1501 of the family's 1533-position model. The record is from RNAcentral.
AACCUGGGAAUUGCACUCGAUACUGCUUGGCUAGAGUAUGGGAGAGGGAAGUGGAAUUUCCGGUGUAGCGGUGAAAUGCGUAGAUAUCGGAAGGAACACCAGUGGCGAAGGCGACUUCCUGGCCCAAUACUGACGCUGAGGUGCGAAAGCGUGGGUAGCGAACAGGAUUAGAUACCCUGGUAGUCCACGCCGUAAACGAUGAGAACUAGAUGUCGGAAGGGUUUACCUUUCGGUGUCGCAGCUAACGCGUUAAGUUCUCCGCCUGGGGAGUACGCCGGCAACGGUAAAACUCAAAGGAAUUGACGGGGACCCGCACAAGCGGUGGAGCAUGUGGUUUAAUUCGAUGCAACGCGAAGAACCUUACCUGGUCUUGACAUCCUCGGAACUUUCCAGAAAUGGAUUGGUGCCUUCGGGAACCGAGUGACAGGUGCUGCAUGGCUGUCGUCAGCUCGUGUCGUGAGAUGUUGGGUUAAGUCCCGCAACGAGCGCAACCCUUGUCCCUAGUUGCCAUCAUUUAGUUGGGCACUCUAGGGAGACCGCCGGUGACAAACCGGAGGAAGGUGGGGACGACGCCAAGUCAUCAUGGCCCUUAUGACCAGGGCUACACACGUGCUACAAUGGCCAGUACAGAGGGUUGCCAAGCGGCAACGUGGAGCUAAUCCCAGAAAGCUGGUCGUAGUCCGGAUUGGAGUCUGCAACUCGACUCCAUGAAGUCGGAAUCGCUAGUAAUCGCGAAUCAGCAUUGUCGCGGUGAAUACGUUCCCGGGUCUUGUACACACCGCCCGUCACACCAUGGAAGUUGGUUGCACCAGAAGUAGGUAGCCUAACCCUCGGGAGGGCGCUUACCACGGUGUGGCUAAUGACUGGGGUGAAGUCGUAACAAGGUAACC